AACGAACGCUGGCGGCAUGCCUAACACAUGCAAGUCGAACGAGACCUUCGGGUCUAGUGGCGCACGGGUGCGUAACGCGUGGGAACCUGCCCUUAGGUUCGGAAUAACUCACCGACAGGGGUGCUAAUACCGGAUAAUGUCUUCGGACCAAAGAUUUAUCGCCUUUGGAUGGGCCCGCGUUGGAUUAGCUAGUUGGUAGGGUAAAAGCCUACCAAGGCGACGAUCCAUAGCUGGUCUGAGAGGAUGAUCAGCCACACUGGGACUGAGACACGGCCCAGACUCGUACGGGAGGGAGCAGUAGGGAAUAUUGUACAAUGGGCGAAAGCCUGGUCCAGCAAUGCCGCGUGAGUGAUGAAGGCCUUAGGGUUGUAAAGCUCUUUUACCCGGGAUGAUAAUGACAGUACCGGGAGAAUAAGCUCCGGCUAACUCCGUG
This 433-nucleotide ribosomal RNA is filed under the name uncultured bacterium. RNAcentral's name for it is "partial 16S ribosomal RNA". It matches the Rfam family "Bacterial small subunit ribosomal RNA", at positions 29 to 507 of the family's 1533-position model. The record is from RNAcentral.